GUAUACUUUAGGAGGGGCUUGCGCCAUAUUAGUUAGUUGGUAGGGUAAUGGCCUACCAAGACGAUGAUGUGUAGCUGGACUGAGAGGUUGAACAGCCACAUUGGGACUGAGACACGGCCCAAACUCCUACGGGAGGCAGCAGUAAGGAAUUUUCGGCAAUGGAGGAAACUCUGACCGAGCAACGCCGCGUGAACGACGAAGUACUUUGGUAUGUAAAGUUCUUUUAUCAAGGAAGAAAAGCAAGUGGCGAACCAUUUGUUUGCCGGUACUUGAUGAAUAAGCCCCGGCUAAUUAUGUGCCAGCAGCCGCGGUAAGACAUAAGGGGCAAGUGUUAUCCGGAAUUAUUGGGCGUAAAGGGUGCGUAGGCGGUCUAGUAAGUCAGUGGUGUAAUGGCAACGCUCAACGUUGUCCGGCUAUUGAAACUGCUAAACUUGAGUUAGAUAGAGGCGAGUGGAAUUCCAUGUGUAGCGGUAAAAUGCGUAAAUAUAUGGAGGAACACCAGAGGCGUAGGCGGCUCGCUGGGUCUUAACUGACGCUGAGGCACGAAAGCGUGGGGAGCAAACAGGAUUAGAUACCCUGGUAGUCCACGCCGUAAACGAUGAGUACUAAGUGUCGGGUUAAACCGGUACUGAAGUUAACACAUUAAGUACUCCGCCUGAGUAGUACGUACGCAAGUAUGAAACUUAAAGGAAUUGACGGGACUCCGCACAAGCGGUGGAUCAUGUUGUUUAAUUCGAAGAUACCCGAAAAACCUUACCAGGUCUUGACAUGUUUUUGCGAAACGGUAGUAAUAUCGUAGAGGUUAUCAGAAACACAGGUGGUGCAUGGUUGUCGUCAGCUCGUGUCGUGAGAUGUUAGGUUAAGUCCUAAAACGAGCGAAACCCUUAUCGUUAGUUGCCAGCACGUUAUGGUGGGGACUUUAACGAGACUGCCAGUGAUAAACUGGAGGAAGGUGAGGAUCACGUCAAAUCAGCAUGCCCCUUAUGACCUGGGCUACAAACGUGAUACAAUGGCUGUUACAAAGGGUAGCUGAAACGUAAGUUCUUGGCCAAUCCCCAAAAACAGUCUCAGUCCGGAUUGAAGUCUGCAACUCGACUUCAUGAAGUUGGAAUCGCUAGUAAUCGC
RNAcentral lists this ribosomal RNA (1125 nucleotides) under Candidatus Phytoplasma citri. Its description in RNAcentral is "bacterial SSU rRNA". It matches the Rfam family "Bacterial small subunit ribosomal RNA", at positions 213 to 1345 of the family's 1533-position model. Lineage: Bacteria; Bacillati; Mycoplasmatota; Mollicutes; Acholeplasmatales; Acholeplasmataceae. The record is from RNAcentral.